UACGUAGGGGGCAAGCGUUGUCCGGAUUUACUGGGCGUAAAGAGCGCGCAGGCGGUCGUUCAAGUCGAGUGUGAAAGCCCCCGGCUCAACUGGGGAGGGUCACUCGAUACUGAUCGACUCGAAGGCAGGAGAGGGAAGUGGAAUUCCCGGUGUAGUGGUGAAAUGCGUAGAUAUCGGGAGGAACACCAGUGGCGAAGGCGACUUCCUGGCCUGUUCUUGACGCUGAGGCGCGAAAGUGUGGGGAGCGAACAGG
This 253-nucleotide ribosomal RNA is filed under the name uncultured bacterium. RNAcentral describes it as "partial 16S ribosomal RNA". It matches the Rfam family "Bacterial small subunit ribosomal RNA", at positions 524 to 776 of the family's 1533-position model. The record is from RNAcentral.